This is a long non-coding RNA of Ixodes scapularis (black-legged tick), 561 nucleotides long. RefSeq lists it as uncharacterized. The record is from RefSeq and is a predicted model, not a curated record. The transcript has 3 exons. NCBI's taxonomy places the organism in Eukaryota, Metazoa, Arthropoda, Arachnida, Ixodida, Ixodidae.
GUUUCAUACUUCAUCAUACUUUUUAUAGAUGCUAUCGUAGACGUUUUAGUGCUCAGUCAAGAACAACGGUAAACGAAAGCAUUCUAACGGCACCAACGACGAUCCAAGAUAAGACAGUUGCACGAACGAAGUGUCCAGUGCAAGUUGCAUGGCAGUGCUGGCCCUGGUCGUGGCAGUCCGAGUACCGGUCGAUGUACAGCAGCACGUGCAGCACCAGGAACGAGGCGGCCACGAAGCACAGGAUCCCGCUCAGGCUGCUCAGGGCGAAGCUCACGGCCUGCGAGUGAAGCACAGGCAGCACCAUGACACCACGCACGCGUAGUCCGCGGUCUACCCGCGCAGGCGACACUCGACGCGCCAGGCCAAUGAGCGGACUUUCUUUCGGCUGCCAAGACAGACUGACGGAAGACCGCCAGGCGUCCACCGACCACUUCGAUUUUCCGCCUCUUGGCGGGAAAACGGCUUGAAGUCGGCGCAAAUGGAAGAAAGUGCCUAAUUUUUGUUUUUGUUUUUUAAUGCAGCAUUAAACGAGAAAGCAGAGCGCGCAUAAAUUUGUAUCUU